UUUCUUCCGAUGCUUUGAUCGUUGUCCAAUUGUGUCAAGAUAUUGUAGAUGCCGGAACGGCAUACCAGGCGUCUACAAAGUGCCGCACGAUGUCCGUUUUUGACGUGGCGGGGUACCAUUUUUUUACCGCAAACGUUAUCCUCUUGAAAAAGAUGACGUCCGUCACAUUUUUCGAAUUUCUGCAACAAUAUUUCUGGAUUAUAAUAAGCCUAAACACGCUUAAAAAGUGACUAUAUUAGAAUGUAAUUCGAUAAUGGGAUGUAAAUCGACAGUCACGCUUUUUUAACCCUUAACUGUAUGAAAAAAUGCAGAAUUCUGAAGUACAAAUAACCGGGAAAAAUAUUUGAACGAACCGGGAAAAACCGGGAAAAAACCGGGAAUUUAAUUUCGAGUUUUGAGUGUCACCCUGCUUAACGUUUGUUUUCAGUAUAAUGUGCACUUUUAAUGAAUAUCUUAUAUUGUGUGUAAGCAUUUUAAAUUUAAUUUUGAUGCCUUGAUGAAUUUAUGAUCGGUAGGCAAAAUUUCGCCGGUAGCACUCCCCUGAUGGCAACCGAGAAUAUCGGACAGCAAUAUCGAGUCGCAAUAUCGAAAUAUCGAUAAUAUCAAAUGCGCCAAUAUCGGUCAAAAAUAUUGAUAUUGUGACGAGCAAAUAUCGAUAAUAUCGAAUAUCGAUAAAAUAUCAACAACCCUAGUAGAUUUCAUUUAACGAGGCAAGUAGCGGGAGAAGAACGCUAAUACUACUAGUAUGCCAUUAUAAACUAAAUUAAACUAAACUUAAUUUGGUGUGAUCUUACACUCGAAGUAGCGGCAGGAAAUGGCACCGCAAGGACAAACAUUGUGCGAAUGCAACUUCUCUCGGAACAGCUACAAUGGCAAGCUUCAAUGAAACGACAACUUGACUGAUUGUCAACAGCUACGACAGGUGGAUGCCUUUGCAAGCAAUUGAACCACACAAGAAACCUAAGCUCGAUGAAGGAACAACGACGACUGUAACUCCUGGGACGCUUGGAAUCGUGAGCAGGAAAGCAUCUACACCACUCAAACCUCGUAUCAAGCGGGUGAAUCUGCACAGUACGCAAUAUGCUGUUUUAUCUGGAGCAGGAGAAAGAAUGCUGCAGAAGUCAAAUGCUGUACGGGGCCUACCUCAAGUGAUCGAUUGUGGUGCGAACAGCGGUGAUAAUCGGGGUGGUCAUUCUGCACCGAGAAACAAACGACGCUUUCGGACUAUGCUAGAGUAGUCAGUCUAUACACCAGAGAGGCGUCAAGACACUCACUGUUAAGGCAACUGUCAACAUCAAAACGGGCGAGCUGUAUGAAUUUGCAUUACCGUCAUACGUUUUGGUGUGGCAGUUGCCUUAACGGUGGGUGUCUUGUUAGUUCUCUAAUUUACAGUUUUCUAUACACAAUGCUGCAAAUCGAAACGUUGCUGAGAAUUGAACUAUCAAUAAGACAUAGGAAUUUGCUAGGAUUGUAUUUUUAUUCUGUUUGGUGUGCAAGAAAAUAAUCUACAUUUAGUAUUUAGUAGUAGAAGGCCGUGUGUAAUUUCAGACAAAAGGUUUAUAAAUAGACUGUUUUAAAUUAUUA
Molecule: long non-coding RNA, 1584 nt
Organism: Wyeomyia smithii (pitcher-plant mosquito)
Lineage: Eukaryota; Metazoa; Arthropoda; Insecta; Diptera; Culicidae
Exons: 2
Source: RefSeq, a predicted model, not a curated record